RNAcentral lists this long non-coding RNA (920 nucleotides) under Homo sapiens (human). RNAcentral describes it as "HSALNT0359247". Lineage: Eukaryota; Metazoa; Chordata; Mammalia; Primates; Hominidae. The record is from RNAcentral.
UUAGCACAUGACAUGCUUACCGUGUUCUAAAACAGCAUAAUAAUUGGAGCAUUUUUACUUCAAAAUGGAUCAGAGUGGUCAAGAAAUAGAGUAAAUGAAACCAGCUAUCAGCCGGGUGCAGUGGCUUACACCUGUAAUCCCAACAUUUUGGGAGGCAGAGACAGGAAGAUUGCUUAGCUUAGGAGUUCAAUACUAGCCUGGGCAACAUGGCAAAAUCCCAUCUCUACCAAAAAUACUAUAUAUAUAUAUGAAAAAAAUGAGACCAGUUAUUAGCAAUGGCAGGACUCUGAUUAGGUCAUUGAGCUGAAGUUCUCAAAUGCUGUGGGGAAAGGAAUCACCUGUGGGAGCUUGUCAGAAAUACAGAUCCCUGGGCCCCACUCCAGGGAAUUCUGAGUUGAUUUAUGGUAACUCGUAGGAAUCAUCUUGAAUUUCAAAGCACCCAGAUGAUUCUGAUGCAUCAAGAUUUGAGACACGUGGCUGGAGGGAUAAUGCACUUUGCUUCCGGAAGGGUUGAAAAAGGCAUUUAAUUAUCCCUUGAAACCUAGCUGAUUCUAUAGAGAGGCUCCAGGAAGUCUUGAAGAAAACUUUGCAGAGGAUGACACUUGAAGAUGAGUUGAUGGAAUGGGCUGAACUUAAAGGAGCACGCUGGUGGAUGCAAGGAUGUCAGGGCUGGUGAAAUCACUGCCAGUUCAACCUUUUCCCAUGUUGAUCCAGCUUGUCAUUAUAAAACAUGAGAGGUACAACUUGAGGAUAAGUGGUCAGAAGAUGUAAAAAGAAUAUGACAACAAAUAAAGAAAAAAAACAUGAGAGAAUCUGCUUUUUGAAAAGAGAUUCUAGGCACCUUUAGCUCUCUAAAAAGAUAAAAACAACAACCAUUGUAUUUUCAAAUCGUUCUUAUUCAUCAAAAUUGAGAAAAAAAU